GAUGAACGCUGGCGGCGUGCCUAAUACAUGCAAGUCGAGCGAACGGACGAGAAGCUUGCUUCUCUGAUGUUAGCGGCGGACGGGUGAGUAACACGUGGAUAACCUACCUAUAAGACUGGGAUAACUUCGGGAAACCGGAGCUAAUACCGGAUAAUAUUUUGAACCGCAUGGUUCAAAAGUAAAAGACGGUCUUGCUGUCACUUAUAGAUGGAUCCGCGCUGCAUUAGCUAGUUGGUAAGGUAACGGCUUACCAAGGCAACGAUGUAUAGCCGACCUGAGAGGGUGAUCGGCCACACUGGAACUGAGACACGGUCCAGACUCCUACGGGAGGCAGCAGUAGGGAAUCUUCCGCAAUGGGCGAAAGCCUGACGGAGCAACGCCGCGUGAGUGAUGAAGGUCUUCGGAUCGUAAAACUCUGUUAUUAGGGAAGAACAUAUGUGUAAGUAACUGUGCACAUCUUGACGGUACCUAAUCAGAAAGCCACGGCUAACUACGUG
This 497-nucleotide ribosomal RNA is filed under the name uncultured bacterium. RNAcentral describes it as "partial 16S ribosomal RNA". It matches the Rfam family "Bacterial small subunit ribosomal RNA", at positions 28 to 507 of the family's 1533-position model. The record is from RNAcentral.